AAGUCGAACGGACUCUUCGGAGUUAGUGGCGGACGGGUGAGUAACGCGUGAGAAUCUACCCUUAGGUUGGGGACAACAGUUGGAAACGACUGCUAAUACCCAAUGUGCCGAGAGGUGAAAGGUUUACUGCCUGAGGAUGAGCUCGCGUCUGAUUAGCUAGUUGGUGGGGUAAGAGCGUACCAAGGCGACGAUCAGUAGCUGGUCUGAGAGGAUGAUCAGCCACACUGGGACUGAGACACGGCCCAGACUCCUACGGGAGGCAGCAGUGGGGAAUUUUCCGCAAUGGGCGAAAGCCUGACGGAGCAAGACCGCGUGCGGGAGGACGGCCUGUGGGUUGUAAACCGCUUUUGAUAGGGAAGAAGAUCUGACGGUACCUAUCGAAUCAGCAUCGGCUAACUCCGUGCCAGCAGCCGCGGUAAUACGGAGGAUGCAAGCGUUAUCCGGAAUUAUUGGGCGUAAAGCGUCCGUAGGUGGUUGAGUAAGUCUGCUGUUAAAGCGUGGAGCUUAACUCCAUACCGGCAGUGGAAACUACUGGACUAGAGUGCGGUAGGGGUCAGGGGAAUUCCCAGUGUAGCGGUGAAAUGCGUAGAUAUUGGGAAGAACACCGGUGGCGAAAGCGCCUGACUGGGCCUGCACUGACACUGAGGGACGAAAGCUAGGGGAGCGAAAGGGAUUAGAUACCCCUGUAGUCCUAGCUGUAAACGAUGGGCACUAGGCGUUGGCCGUAUCGACCCGGUCAGUG
RNAcentral lists this ribosomal RNA (742 nucleotides) under uncultured bacterium. RNAcentral's name for it is "bacterial SSU rRNA". It matches the Rfam family "Bacterial small subunit ribosomal RNA", at positions 59 to 845 of the family's 1533-position model. The record is from RNAcentral.